AUACUUACCCAGUAGGGGAAAUACCAUGAUCACGAAGGUAGUUUUCCCGGGGCGAGGCUUAUCCAUUGCACUCCAGAGGUGCUGACCCCUGCAAUUUCUCCAAAUGUGGGAAAUUCCGCUGCAUAAUUUGUGGUAGUGGGGGAUUGAGUUCGUGCUUUCCCUGA
Molecule: small nuclear RNA, 164 nt
Organism: Saimiri boliviensis boliviensis (Bolivian squirrel monkey)
Lineage: Eukaryota; Metazoa; Chordata; Mammalia; Primates; Cebidae
Gene: U1
Rfam family: U1 spliceosomal RNA
About the family: U1 is a small nuclear RNA (snRNA) component of the spliceosome (involved in pre-mRNA splicing).
Source: Ensembl